GAGGGCAUGGAAGGUUUUCGUAGGUGACCUGCGGAAGGAUCAUUAUCGUACAAGCGAGGUGCGAGGGCUGUCGCUGACCCCUUUGAAAGGUCGUGCACGCCCGAGCGCUCUCAUCCCAAUCCAUCUCACCCCUUUGUGCAUCACCGCGUGGGUCCGCCUUUGCGGGAGGGGCCCACGUUUUCACAUAAAACAUGAUACAGUCUAGAAUGUUUAUUUUUGCGGUAACACGCAAUCAAUACAACUUUCAACAACGGAUCUCUUGGCUCUCGCAUCGAUGAAGAACGCAGCGAAAUGCGAUACGUAAUGUGAAUUGCAGAAUUCAGUGAAUCAUCGAAUCUUUGAACGCACCUUGCGCCCCUUGGCAUUCCGAGGGGCACACCCGUUUGAGUGUCGUGAAAUUCUCAAAAUCCUUUUCUUUGACCGGAAUAGGACUUUUGGACUUGGAGGUUCAAUGCUCGCUUUUGCCUUUGAAAGCGAGCUCCUCUCAAAUGAAUUAGUGGGGUCCGCUUUGCUGAUCCUUGACGUGAUAAGAUGCUUCUACGUUUUGGAUUUGGCACUGUUUUCUCCGCUCCCAACUGUCUCAUGGACAGCGAUGGUGCUCCGGUCGCCGCGUCUAUGGCGGGAGGCUGGACCCACAAACAACCUUGACCUCAAAUCCAAGAGAAAGAGAGGGCUGAACAUGGGA
This 685-nucleotide ribosomal RNA is filed under the name uncultured Russula. RNAcentral's name for it is "eukaryotic LSU rRNA". The stretch from base 240 to 393 matches the Rfam family "5.8S ribosomal RNA". The record is from RNAcentral. Lineage: Eukaryota; Fungi; Basidiomycota; Agaricomycetes; Russulales; Russulaceae.